This 492-nucleotide ribosomal RNA is filed under the name uncultured bacterium. Its description in RNAcentral is "partial 16S ribosomal RNA". It matches the Rfam family "Bacterial small subunit ribosomal RNA", at positions 29 to 507 of the family's 1533-position model. The record is from RNAcentral.
AGUGAACGCUGGCGGCAGGCCUAACACAUGCAAGUCGAACGGCAGCACAGUAAGAGCUUGCCCCUACGGGUGGCGAGUGGCGGACGGGUGAGGAAUACAUCGGAUACUACUUCUUCGGGGGUGAUAACGGAGGGAAACUUCCGCUAACACCGCAUACGUCCUACGGGUGAAAGCAGGGGAUCUACGCACUUUGCGCGAUUGAAAGAGCCGAUGUCGGAUUAGCUAGUUGGCGGGGUAAAGGCACACCAAGGCGACGAUCCGUAGCAGGUCUGAGAGGAUGAUCAGCCACACUGGAACUGAGACACGGUCCAGACUCCUACGGGAGGCAGCAGUAGGGAAUAUUCCGCAAUGGGCGCAAGCCUGAUCCAGCCAUACCGCGUGAGUGAUGAAGGCCUUCGGGUUGUAAAGCCCUGUUGUUGGGAAAGAACAGCAGCAUGUUAAUCCCCCGCUAUUCUGACGGUACCCAAAGAAUAAGCCCCGGCUAACUUCGUG